This 499-nucleotide ribosomal RNA is filed under the name uncultured Glomeromycotina. RNAcentral's name for it is "partial small subunit ribosomal RNA". It matches the Rfam family "Eukaryotic small subunit ribosomal RNA", at positions 591 to 1092 of the family's 1831-position model. The record is from RNAcentral. Lineage: Eukaryota; Fungi; Glomeromycota.
CCAGUAGCGUAUAUUAAAGUUGUUGCAGUUAAAAAGCUCGUAGUUGAAUUUCGGGAUCAAUAUAUUGGUCAUGCUUAGGUAUGUACUGGUAUUAUUGAUUUCUCCCUUCUGAAGAACCAUAAUGUCAUUAAUUUGAUGUCAUGGGGAAUCAGGACUGUUACUUUGAAAAAAUUAGAGUGUUUAAAGCAGGCUUUCGCUUGAAUACAUUAGCAUGGAAUAAUGAAAUAGGACGUUUGAUUCUAUUUUGUUGGUUUCUAGGAUCGACGUAAUGAUUAAUAGGGAUAGUUGGGGGCAUUAGUAUUCAAUUGUCAGAGGUGAAAUUCUUGGAUUUAUUGAAGACUAACUACUGCGAAAGCAUUUGCCAAGGAUGUUUUCAUUAAUCAAGAACGAAAGUUAGGGGAUCGAAGACGAUCAGAUACCGUCGUAGUCUUAACCAUAAACUAUGCCGACUAGGGAUCGGAUGAUGUUAAUUUUUUAAUGACUCAUUCGGCGCCUUACG